This 73-nucleotide transfer RNA is filed under the name Apaloderma vittatum (bar-tailed trogon). It matches the Rfam family "tRNA". From Rfam's summary of the family: Transfer RNA (tRNA) molecules are approximately 80 nucleotides in length. Their secondary structure includes four short double-helical elements and three loops (D, anti-codon, and T loops). The record is from Rfam by way of RNAcentral. Lineage: Eukaryota; Metazoa; Chordata; Aves; Trogoniformes; Trogonidae.
GGCCGGUUAGCUCAGUCAGUUGAGCGUGGUGUUGAUAACACAAAGGUCGCGGGUUUGAUUCCCGUUCAGUCCC